Molecule: long non-coding RNA, 210 nt
Filed under: Elaeis guineensis (African oil palm)
Lineage: Eukaryota; Viridiplantae; Streptophyta; Magnoliopsida; Arecales; Arecaceae
Description: long non-coding RNA (EGUI_LNC049459)
Source: RNAcentral
UGGGGACACAAGGGUUGGCCGAGCCACACUCGGGCCCAUGUGCAGUCCAUGUGGAUUCUAGUACCCACUAAAGAAUUAGUGUAAUUCUUCGAAUUGAAGGUAGAGGCUAUCUAUUCGAAUAAAAUAGUGAGAGAACUUUUAGACUAAAAUUCAUAUCUUUAGGCUUAAUCAAUUCAUAUACUAAAUAAGUUUUGAUUUUUCUUUUGCAGU